GCAAGACUAAAACUCAAAGGAAUUGACGGGGGCCCGCACAAGCGGUGGAGCAUGUGGUUUAAUUCGACGCAACGCGAAGAACCUUACCUGGGUUUGACAUCCUGUGAACGUCUAAGAGAUUAGACAGUGCCUUCGGGAGCACAGAGACAGGUGCUGCAUGGCUGUCGUCAGCUCGUGUCGCGAGAUGUUUGGUUAAGUCCAGCAACGAGCGCAACCCUUAUCGUUAGUUGCCAGCACGUAAUGGUGGGAACUCUAGCGAGACUGCCCGGGUUAACCGGGAGGAAGGCGGGGAUGACGCCAAGUCCUCAUGGCCCUUAUAUCCAGGGCUACACACGUGCUACAAUGGUAAAUACAGAGGGCAGCAAGCCGGCAACGGUUAGCAAAUCCCUAAAGUUUAUCUCAGUCCGGAUUGGAGUCUGCAACUCGACUCCAUGAAGUUGGAAUCGCUAGUAAUCGCGGAUCAGCAUGCCGCGGUGAAUAUGUUCCCGGGCCUUGUACACACCGCCCGUCACACCAUGAGAGUUGAUUAUACCCGACGUCGUUGGGCCAACCUUUUAUUAGGAGGCAAGCGCCUAAGGUAUGGUUGAUAAUUGGGGUGAAGUCGUAACAAGGUA
This 614-nucleotide ribosomal RNA is filed under the name uncultured bacterium. RNAcentral describes it as "bacterial SSU rRNA". It matches the Rfam family "Bacterial small subunit ribosomal RNA", at positions 888 to 1498 of the family's 1533-position model. The record is from RNAcentral.